AAUUAUUUUAAAAAUUACAAAAAUAUUCUUCCAUAAUGCAUGUGCCUUUGACUCAAAAAUAUACUUGUACUGUGGGUGCAUUGGGGUGCAUCCAGUAGCACAACCGCUCGAUUACACGACAUUAGUCCGAAAACUAGAUGGGGAAAAUGUUGGUACCAACAAAAUUCUCUAGACAUUUCAAUUUCAAUUUUUACAGACAAGAUUUAUGAUUGAAAUCUGGUUUUCCAUAUUAAAAUCAUAGUCAGCCGAGAAACAAAAUCUGUGCAAAAUAAAAUAGAAACAUAAAGAAGGAAGAGGGAAA
Long non-coding RNA from Monomorium pharaonis (pharaoh ant), 301 nucleotides. RefSeq lists it as uncharacterized. Lineage: Eukaryota; Metazoa; Arthropoda; Insecta; Hymenoptera; Formicidae. The transcript is spliced from 2 exons. The record is from RefSeq and is a predicted model, not a curated record.